GUGCUUGCUUCAGCAGCACAUAUAUUAAAAUUGGAACAUUACAGAGAAGAUUAGCAUGGUCCCUGUGCAAGGAUGACAUGAAAAUUCAUGAAGUGUUCCAUACAAAA
Molecule: small nuclear RNA, 107 nt
Organism: Erinaceus europaeus (western European hedgehog)
Lineage: Eukaryota; Metazoa; Chordata; Mammalia; Eulipotyphla; Erinaceidae
Source: Ensembl